RNAcentral lists this ribosomal RNA (449 nucleotides) under uncultured bacterium. Its description in RNAcentral is "partial 16S ribosomal RNA". It matches the Rfam family "Bacterial small subunit ribosomal RNA", at positions 29 to 523 of the family's 1533-position model. The record is from RNAcentral.
AACGAACGCUGGCGGCAUGCCUAACACAUGCAAGUCGAACGAAGGCUUCGGCCUUAGUGGCGCACGGGUGCGUAACGCGUGGGAAUCUGCCCUCAGGUUCGGAAUAACAGCGAGAAAUUGCUGCUAAUACCGGAUGAUAUCGCGAGAUCAAAGAUUUAUCGCCUGAGGAUGAGCCCGCGUAGGAUUAGCUAGUUGGUGUGGUAAAGGCGCACCAAGGCGACGAUCCUUAGCUGGUCUGAGAGGAUGAUCAGCCACACUGGGACUGAGACACGGCCCAGACGCCUACGGGAGGCAGCAGUGGGGAAUAUUGGACAAUGGGCGAAAGCCUGAUCCAGCAAUGCCGCGUGAGUGAUGAAGGCCUUAGGGUUGUAAAGCUCUUUUACCCGGGAUGAUAAUGACAGUACCGGGAGAAUAAGCUCCGGCUAACUCCGUGCCAACAGCCGCCGCAG